AAUUAGUUGCAGUUAAAGCUCGUAGUUGAAUUUCUGCUAAAAAUAACCGGUCUGCUUUUAAUAAAGGUGGUAUCUUGGUGUGUUUUUAGCAAUAAUGUCCUUUGAAAUGUUUUUUACUUUAUUGUAAUAAAUUAUAUUCAGGAUUUUUACUUUGAGAAAAUUAGAGUGUUUCUAGCAGGCUAACGCUUUGAAUACUGCAGCAUGGAAUAAUAAAAUAGGAUUUUGGUUCUACAUUAUUGGUUUUAAGAGCUAAAUUAAUGAUUGAUAGGGACAGUUGGGGGCAUUUGUAUUUAACUGUCAGAGGUGAAAUUCUUAGAUUUGUUAAAGACAAACUACUGCGAAAG
RNAcentral lists this ribosomal RNA (344 nucleotides) under Hepatozoon felis. RNAcentral describes it as "SSU rRNA". It matches the Rfam family "Eukaryotic small subunit ribosomal RNA", at positions 612 to 951 of the family's 1831-position model. Lineage: Eukaryota; Apicomplexa; Hepatozoidae. The record is from RNAcentral.